This 353-nucleotide unclassified non-coding RNA is filed under the name Hevea brasiliensis (rubber tree). The record is from RNAcentral. Lineage: Eukaryota; Viridiplantae; Streptophyta; Magnoliopsida; Malpighiales; Euphorbiaceae.
CACAUAUGUGUUGGAUAUCAAGCAAAUGACCCAAAAAGCUCCUGACCCCUACGCACCCCGCCCUGUCCUGUCUGUGCAUUUGAAUAAACAUGCUGCAACCCCCGACCUGCCCCAUAAUUCCCAAGCAGUGACUGACGUGCAACUCCUAAUCCUCCAACUUGACGAGUUGGCACGAGACUCUGGCUCAUUGCACCAGCCAUUACCGGACUAAUUAUCCCAGUAGGACCAGGAGAAGCAGCAGCAGCAAGUGGGUUACCCAACAACCCUCCAUAAAGUGGAUUAAACCCAGGGUGCUGUCCAAACAAUGCGAAAUUCUGCGCUGCUGCUACUGCCGCCAACACCUGACCCUGCGG